AGAGUUUGAUCCUGGCUCAGAUUGAACGCUGGCGGCAGGCCUAACACAUGCAAGUCGAGCGUGAAAGUCCUUCGGGAUGAGUAAAGCGGCGGACGGGUGAGUAACGCGUAGGAAUCUACCUAAUAGUGGGGGAUAACGUUUCGAAAGGAACGCUAAUACCGCAUACGUUCUGAGGAAGAAAGCAGGGGAUCGCAAGACCUUGCGCUAUUAGAUGAGCCUGCGUCCGAUUAGCUAGUUGGUGAGGUAACGGCUCACCAAGGCGACGAUCAGUAGCUGGUCUGAGAGGAUGAUCAGCCACAUUGGGACUGAGACACGGCCCAAACUCCUACGGGAGGCAGCAGUGGGGAAUAUUGGACAAUGGGCGCAAGCCUGAUCCAGCCAUGCCGCGUGAGUGAUGAAGGCCCUAGGGUUGUAAAGCUCUUUUGUGCGGGAAGAUAAUGACGGUACCGCAAGAAUAAGCCCCGGCUAACUUCGUG
This 476-nucleotide ribosomal RNA is filed under the name uncultured bacterium. RNAcentral's name for it is "bacterial SSU rRNA". It matches the Rfam family "Bacterial small subunit ribosomal RNA", at positions 8 to 507 of the family's 1533-position model. The record is from RNAcentral.